RNAcentral lists this ribosomal RNA (253 nucleotides) under uncultured bacterium. Its description in RNAcentral is "partial 16S ribosomal RNA". It matches the Rfam family "Bacterial small subunit ribosomal RNA", at positions 524 to 776 of the family's 1533-position model. The record is from RNAcentral.
UACGGAGGGUGCAAACGUUGUUCGGAAUUACUGGGCGUAAAGCGUGUGUAGGCGGCCUCGUAGGUCGGAUGUGAAAGCUCUCGGCUCAACCUGGAAAGUGCAUUCGAAACCACGAGGCUUGAGUGUCGGAGAGGGGGGCGGAAUUGUCGGUGUAGAGGUGAAAUUCGUAGAUAUCGACAGGAACACCUGCGGCGAAAGCGGCCUUCCGGACGAACACUGACGCUGAGACACGAAAGCGUGGGGAGCAAACAGG